This 242-nucleotide ribosomal RNA is filed under the name uncultured Vibrio sp. RNAcentral describes it as "partial 16S ribosomal RNA". It matches the Rfam family "Bacterial small subunit ribosomal RNA", at positions 173 to 421 of the family's 1533-position model. The record is from RNAcentral. Lineage: Bacteria; Pseudomonadati; Pseudomonadota; Gammaproteobacteria; Vibrionales; Vibrionaceae.
CUCGCAAGAGCAAAGCAGGGGACCUUCGGGGCCUUGCGCUACCGGAUAUGCCCAGGUGGGAUUAGCUAGUUGGUGAGGUAAGGGCUCACCAAGGCGACGAUCCCUAGCUGGUCUGAGAGGAUGAUCAGCCACACUGGAACUGAGACACGGUCCGGACUCCUACGGGAGGCAGCAGUGGGGAAUAUUGCACAAUGGGCGCAAGCCUGAUGCAGCCAUGCCGCGUGUAUGAAGAAGGCCUUCGG